RNAcentral lists this ribosomal RNA (482 nucleotides) under uncultured bacterium. RNAcentral's name for it is "partial 16S ribosomal RNA". It matches the Rfam family "Bacterial small subunit ribosomal RNA", at positions 30 to 507 of the family's 1533-position model. The record is from RNAcentral.
AUUGAACGCUGGCGGCAUGCUUUACACAUGCAAGUCGAACGGUAACAGGCCGCAAGGUGCUGACGAGUGGCGAACGGGGGAGUAAUGCAUCGGAACGUGCCCAGUCGUGGGGGAUAACUACUCGUAAGAGUAGCUAAUAUAGCAUACGAUGUAUGGAUGAAAGCGGGGGACUGUAAGGAUUAGUGCGAUUGGAGCGGCAGAUGUCAGAUUAGGUAGUUGGUGGAGUAAAGACACACCAAGGCAACGAUCUGUAGCUGGUCUGAGAGGACGACCAGCCACACUAGGACUGAGACACGGUCCAGACUCCUACGGGAGACAGCAGUAGGGAAUAUUGGACAAUGAGCGCAAGCCUGAUCCAGCAAUGCCGCGUUCAGGAAGAAGACCUUCUGGUUGUAAACCUCUUUUGUUCGGAACGAAACUCCUCUAAUUAAUACCCCGUACUAAUGACGGUACCUUAAGAAUAAGCACCGGCUAACUACUUG